This 305-nucleotide ribosomal RNA is filed under the name uncultured bacterium. RNAcentral describes it as "bacterial SSU rRNA". It matches the Rfam family "Bacterial small subunit ribosomal RNA", at positions 333 to 655 of the family's 1533-position model. The record is from RNAcentral.
AGUGUCCUACGAGGCGCAGCAGUGGGGAAUAUUGCACAAUGGGGGAAACCCUGAUGCAGCGACGCCGCGUGAGUGAGGAAGUAUUUCGGUAUGUAAAGCUCUAUCAGCGGGGAAGAAAAUGACGGUACCUGACCAAGAAGCCCCGGCUAACUACGUGCCAGCAGCCGCGGUAAUACGUAGGGGGCAAGCGUUAUCCGGAUUUACUGGGUGUAAAGGGAGCGUAGGCGGCUGUGUAAGCCAGAAGUGAAAGCCCGAGGCUCAACCACGGGACUGCUUUUGGGACUACAUGGCUUGAUUGCAGGAGG